AGAGUUUGAUCCUGGCUCAGGACGAACGCUGGCGGCGUGCCUAAUACAUGCAAGUCGAGCGGUCCCCUUCGGGGAUAGCGGCGGACGGGUGAGUAACACGUAGGCAACCUGCCUGUAAGAUCGGGAUAACUAUCGGAAACGAUAGCUAAGACCGGAUAGCUGGUUUUCUCGCAUGAGAGAACCAUGAAACACGGGGCAAC
This 200-nucleotide ribosomal RNA is filed under the name uncultured bacterium. Its description in RNAcentral is "partial 16S ribosomal RNA". It matches the Rfam family "Bacterial small subunit ribosomal RNA", at positions 8 to 211 of the family's 1533-position model. The record is from RNAcentral.